CCCUGAUGGACAGUCUGAUCAGUUGUCUGGUGAGAGGUCUCAUUAUACUGGCUAAUCUAAAUGCUAAAUGCUAUUGUUUUAUAUUUAUUUUCUUAUCAUACUGUGUGAUUCAUUGAUACUCUAAAUCUGAGAAACAGGAGACUUAUUCUCAUUCUUACUUCUAGAAUAUGGCUGGGAUCUACACCCCUCAAGAGCUUUUUGUGGUCCUUGGAUGCCUAACUCCAUUUAUCAAUGGUUCCACCUACCUAUCUGUGUACCGUGGGAUUCUGACACAAAAUACGGAAAGCAUAACAAAUUAUUGCUACCCUCCAGAAACACAGCCACUGCUAACACAGCUACUCCAGGAGCCACACAUGUUUGGGUAAGACAAAAAAAAGAGAGCUAAAGAUGGCAUUUGAGUAUAUUUUUUAAGAAUGCCCCGAAAAGGCACGCAGACUACAGUCCUAGCUUUACACCAAAAAAGGUUUUACAAGGUUAAUCAAUUCUGUUCUUCCCGUAAACAAUUCUUAUUAGAAAUAAAAAGUUUUUAGUAUUUUUACGUGAAAAAUAACCAUCCUUUUAUUUAUCUAUCUAGCAUAUCUUGAAUGCGCUCCUUGUUCAUUCUUCGAGGGGGCUUCAAGGUAUUACAAUCAGAAUUUUAAAAACAUAUAUGAUUUCCUCUGACUAAAUAUCUAGAAGAAAAUGAAAUGCACGUUUUAUUUCGAAAGUAUCUACAAUUAAGUAGCAGAUUGAAGUCAAUGUGUGUUUAGCAUCACUAGGUUACUAGGCAAACUAAAGGGUCUCUGUUGACCAGUCAUUUCCAAGGGUCUCCUUGCACAGUCUGCUUUGAGUUUGCAACUUAUCACGACUUAAUCAAUUUCUAGGACACCACCCCAAUGGCAGUCCCAGGCUCUGCAGCGCAUAGACAGGUUGGUUCUCCUGUUUUCAGACCGCUCUCUACAAUCUCUCAAUAAGG
Molecule: non-coding RNA, 955 nt
Organism: Pelobates cultripes (western spadefoot toad)
Lineage: Eukaryota; Metazoa; Chordata; Amphibia; Anura; Pelobatidae
Source: the annotation of a GenBank genome assembly